GCGGCGUAGAUUAGGCAUGCAAGUCGAGCGAUACCUUUUUUGAAGCACUGAAGUCGCAAGAUGGAUGUGUGGAUGAAGGGGAUAUAGCGGCAGACUGGUGAGUACAACGUGAGUAAUUUACCUCCAAUACGGGGAUAGCACCGCGAAAGCAGUGGUAAUACCCGAUGUGUUUACGAGGGCGCAGGCCCUUGUAAGUAAAGGCGCUUCGCAAGAGGUGAUGAUUGGAGAUGAGCUCGCGUCCUAUCAGCUAGUUGGUAGGGUAACGGCCUACCAAGGCUUUUGACGGGUAGCUGGCCUGAGAGGGUGGUCAGCCACAUGGGGACUGAGACACUGCCCCAACUCCUACGGGAGGCUGCAGUCGAGGAUAUUUAGCAAUGGGGGAAACCCUGACUAUGUGACGCCGCGUGAGGGAUGAAGGUCUUCGGAUUGUAAACCUCUUUCGACAGGAAAGAAACGCUGCAUUAACAGUGCAGCCUGACGGUACCUGGAGAAGAAGCCAUGGCCAACUCUGUGCCAGCAGCCGCGGUAAUACAGAGAUGGCGAGCGUUACUCGGAUUUAUUGGGUGUAAAGGGCAGGUAGGUGUUUUGCCAAGUUGUAAGUGAAAUCCUAAGGCUUAACCUUAGAACUGCUUACAAAACUGGCGAAAUUGAGAUCGGUAGAGGAAAGCGGAAUUCCCGGUGUAAGGGUGAAAUCUGUAGAUAUCGGGAGGAACACCAGUGGCGAAAGCGGCUUUCUGGACCGAUUCUGACGCUAAGCUGCGAAAGCUCGGGGAGCAAACAGGAUUAGAUACCCUGGUAGUCCGAGCCGUAAACGAUGAGCACUAGGUGUUGUGGGUUAAACCCUCAGCGCCGUAAGUUAACACGUUAAGUGCUCCACCUGG
This 881-nucleotide ribosomal RNA is filed under the name uncultured bacterium. Its description in RNAcentral is "bacterial SSU rRNA". It matches the Rfam family "Bacterial small subunit ribosomal RNA", at positions 39 to 876 of the family's 1533-position model. The record is from RNAcentral.